This 1372-nucleotide ribosomal RNA is filed under the name uncultured bacterium. RNAcentral describes it as "bacterial SSU rRNA". It matches the Rfam family "Bacterial small subunit ribosomal RNA", at positions 28 to 1381 of the family's 1533-position model. The record is from RNAcentral.
GAUGAACGCUGGCGGCGUGCCUAAUACAUGCAAGUCGAGCGAACAGACGAGGAGCUUGCUCCUUUGACGUUAGCGGCGGACGGGUGAGUAACACGUGGGUAACCUACCUAUAAGACUGGGAUAACUUCGGGAAACCGGAGCUAAUACCGGAUAAUAUUUCGAACCGCAUGGUUCGAUAGUGAAAGAUGGUUUUGCUAUCACUUAUAGAUGGACCUGCGCCGUAUUAGCUAGUUGGUAAGGUAACGGCUUACCAAGGCAACGAUACGUAGCCGACCUGAGAGGGUGAUCGGCCACACUGGAACUGGGACACGGUCCAGACUCCUACGGGAGGCAGCAGUAGGGAAUCUUCCGCAAUGGGCGAAAGCCUGACGGAGCAACGCCGCGUGAGUGAUGAAGGUCUUCGGAUCGUAAAACUCUGUUAUUAGGGAAGAACAAACGUGUAAGUAACUGUGCACGUCUUGACGGUACCUAAUCAGAAAGCCACGGCUAACUACGUGCCAGCAGCCGCGGUAAUACGUAGGUGGCAAGCGUUAUCCGGAAUUAUUGGGCGUAAAGCGCGCGUAGGCGGUUUUUUAAGUCUGAUGUGAAAGCCCACGGCUCAACCGUGGAGGGUCAUUGGAAACUGGAAAACUUGAGUGCAGAAGAGGAAAGUGGAAUUCCAUGUGUAGCGGUGAAAUGCGCAGAGAUAUGGAGGAACACCAGUGGCGAAGGCGACUUUUUGGUCUGUAACUGACGCUGAUGUGCGAAAGCGUGGGGAUCAAACAGGAUUAGAUACCCUGGUAGUCCACGCCGUAAACGAUGAGUGCUAAGUGUUAGGGGGUUUCCGCCCCUUAGUGCUGCAGCUAACGCAUUAAGCACUCCGCCUGGGGAGUACGACCGCAAGGUUGAAACUCAAAGGAAUUGACGGGGACCCGCACAAGCGGUGGAGCAUGUGGUUUAAUUCGAAGCAACGCGAAGAACCUUACCAAAUCUUGACAUCCUUUGACCCUUCUAGAGAUAGAAGUUUCCCCUUCGGGGGACAAAGUGACAGGUGGUGCAUGGUUGUCGUCAGCUCGUGUCGUGAGAUGUUGGGUUAAGUCCCGCAACGAGCGCAACCCUUAAGCUUAGUUGCCAUCAUUAAGUUGGGCACUCUAAGUUGACUGCCGGUGACAAACCGGAGGAAGGUGGGGAUGACGUCAAAUCAUCAUGCCCCUUAUGAUUUGGGCUACACACGUGCUACAAUGGACAAUACAAAGGGCAGCGAAACCGCGAGGUCAAGCAAAUCCCAUAAAGUUGUUCUCAGUUCGGAUUGUAGUCUGCAACUCGACUACAUGAAGCUGGAAUCGCUAGUAAUCGUAGAUCAGCAUGCUACGGUGAAUACGUUCCCGGGUCU